RNAcentral lists this ribosomal RNA (301 nucleotides) under uncultured bacterium. RNAcentral describes it as "partial 16S ribosomal RNA". It matches the Rfam family "Bacterial small subunit ribosomal RNA", at positions 509 to 809 of the family's 1533-position model. The record is from RNAcentral.
CAGCAGCCACGGGAAUACGAAGGGGGCUAGCGUUGUUCGGAUUAACUGGGCGUAAAGGGCGCGUAGGCGGCAUAUACAGUCAGGCGUGAAAUUCCUGGGCUCAACCUGGGAAUGGCAAUGGAUACUGGCGAGCUAGAGUGUGUCAGAGGAUGGUGGAAUUCCCGGUGUAGCGGUGAAAUGCGUAGAGAUCGGGAGGAACAUCAGUGGCGAAGGCGGCCAUCUGGGACAACACUGACGCUGAGGCACGAAAGCGUGGGGAGCAAACAGGAUUAGAUACCCCUGUAGUCCCUGUCUCUUAUAA